RNAcentral lists this long non-coding RNA (4953 nucleotides) under Zea mays. RNAcentral describes it as "long non-coding RNA (ZMAY_LNC002177)". Lineage: Eukaryota; Viridiplantae; Streptophyta; Magnoliopsida; Poales; Poaceae. The record is from RNAcentral.
ACAAUAGUUUGUAUAACACUUCCCUGCGUCAACAAUACCUGCAAAUAUCACUUCAAUGUAUGCAUAGGAACGCAAAGUGUAGGUACUCUGUCUUCAUACCUCUGAGGGUAUAAAACCACAUCAUAUGCAAAUAUCACUUCAAUGAAUGCAUAUGAAUGCAAUGCAUAUGUCCUCUGCCUUCAUACCUCUAAGGGUAUGAAGCCGCAUCGUACCCCUCCUCGGGCAACAUACGAUGCUAAGUUGUACCGGUACGGUCGGACCAUAGGUCACGACCCAACUUCAGAUGCAAGUGAAUCAUGCAAUGUAUGUGGCAUGCUGCAUUUAUCAAUAUACUUAACUUCCUUCACAUGCAAUACGAAUCUCAAAUAAUACUUCAUUACCUUCAGAUACAAUACAAACCUCAAAUAAUACUUCAUUUACCUUCAGGGGUGUGAAUUAAUCUCAUGAUUCGUACUCGAAUCAUAAUCAUCAUCAAUAUAUGAUUGAGCAUCAGGAUAAUGCAAGCAAGUAAAGCAUCACCAUGGAGUCCAAUUAUGAAAGAAUCCAAUAAUUCUGAAUACUAGAGUGUAGGCGAUAGAAAUAACAGGUCAGAACGGAAGCAAUCACCCCUACAUUCACUUGCCUUCAUCGAAGAAGAAAAAUGUACUAGGCAUGAUCUGGAGUGUAGCCACCUGCUAGCGGGCAUAAAACUUAGUACAAAUAUUUCACAAACAUUUGCCAACAAUCAACAAAUCGCUCCUACACUUGAAACCAAGACCUGGUGGAAAACCUCCCACUCUGAACCACAUGCCAUACAACAGCAACACUGUUUGUUAAUUUUGUAUCUUUAAAAUUAUAACAGUGGUGAUAUCAAACAAAUACUCUAGGAGUAUCUACACAAAAUACUCUACAACUUCGGUAUUUGAUGGAUAAUUAAAUUCUGCCAUCUAUAAGUUCUAAAACAUCUGACAAGAUAAUUGACUGAAUCUGUUUUAGACAGCAGCAUAGUUAACUUUCAAAAUUCAAUAUCUCACAAACUACUCAACCAAAAAUCAUGAAAUUCUUCUGGAAGUAAGAACUUUUAUCCCUCUACAAAAUUCUCCAUAGCUGGGAGAGCCAAUUCGGCCAUUUACCUAAUGAAACCUACCAGUGAACAGACCCGCUCAUUUCUGUCAGGCCAACAGAAACAACCACAGUAAAACAAACAUAACUGGAGUUUAAUAAUUCAUAUGAAUGCACUCCUUAACAAUCUGGAAAGCUUAUGUAAUUAUCUAUAUCUUUUUUUACAAACCCAAGGUUUAAUUUUGUUGAUAAAAUUGCCUAAAUCUUAAGAGAACAGAUUCUGCACAGAAUUAAGAGACUGAAAAAUUGCUAUAAUCAAACUGCAAUAACUCUCUGAGCUGAUGUCCGAUUGAGGUGUUCUUCGCGGCCACGGAAAGAUCUACAAAUUAUCUACGACUCAUAUAUAGACUUUUUAUUUUUUUGAAGCCACUAAGACCAUGGAAAACUGGCAUGAACAGAAACUGUCGAAUCUUCCAUUCUGCAGAAAACUAAAUUCGAGAUCAAAACCUAACCCCACAUCUAAUCCAACCUCUAAUCCUUUAAUUCCCAUGAUCCACAACCUCCAAAAGCACAUAAUUACAGGGAGGAACAAGGAUCUCAUCCAUACCUAGGGUUUCCCCAAGAAAUUCUGCAAGAAGAGAUGGGGAAGAACAUCUCCUUGAUCCUCUCUUCCCCUUCAAUUCAACGUGCUCCUCCUCUUCUCGAUCCUUGCUGCGCGGGGGAGAUCUAGAGGGAGGAGGAAGCCGUGGAGAGGGGCUGCCAUAGGAGGAGAGGAUGGCCAGCCCAAGGGGAAAGGAGGGAGGGGCGGCCAAGUGUGGGAGGGGGGGAAGGGGUGGUGGCCAAGUAGGGGGAAAAGGGGGAAAAGGCCACCACUAGGGUUUUCUUUGCGGGAGAAAAGAAGCGACGCCACAGAUGACUCCGACUUAGCAUCCAACGGCCCACAACCCUUUUCCCACAUCCACGCACCGAAGAUCAACCUUUGGCAACAUUUUUUUGGGAUAUUACAACUUGCUUGGAUUCAAGUAUAGGGCUGAUCCAUACAGUUUUUGCUCCAUUUGAUUUUCCCAUCUUUUUCAAAGCAUGAUAGUACAUCUGCUUGUAAUCUUGGCUUAUCUUUCAAUGACUCCUUUAUGGUGGCUUUUGCAACAUCCAAUGUUGCCAUGAUUUCUUGGGUUGCUGGUGUCUCAUCUCCAUCAACAAUCCUUAGAGCAACGAGGAGUGGUUGUGAAGCCCUUAGACAGUUUUCCACGUUUUCCCAAAAUGGCAUAGAAAGCACAAUUCUUGUGAUUUACCUCCCUUCUUCAGUGUUGGGAAACUUAGUUAGGUGCCACUCAUCACUAACAAAUAUACUCUUUAGACCAUUCCUAUGCCUAAGCAUGCUCGCCAAUGUCAGAAAUGAGGUAGCAAAUCGAGUCACACCUGGCCUAACAAGAUCACCACCUAGCUUCUCUCUCAUUAGGUUGUGAAUUCUACCAUGCUUGUUACACUAAAUGGGCCUUAAUUGUAGAUGUCCAGCCUAAAGCAAAAACAGGCCAACCGCUAGCCAACUAAACCUAACUAAUCGUCCACACAUUAACUUGACGACUAAUCACACUUGGUCGACGACUGGACGAUUAGUCGACCUAAUCGGAUCAGAUACCCUGGUCGCUCCACUAAAACCGACUAGUCCGACUAAUCACGACUAGUCGGACGACUUGAAAUCAUUGGGCCUAACCAAAUCGCCGCCAAUGAGUAUAUAACAUCCAAUCCAACUAAUUUUGAUGCCAAGUCACAUGAAUAGGAAACUAUUUUAGAGAAAACUAAAGUAGCACAAUUCAUGCAGGUCAAGAGAACAUCAAAUUACUUUGACUUAUUCAUAGACCUGAUCAUAGGAUGCCCGACUCGAUUUGCUCGAAAAAACACGACUCGACCCGACCAAUGCAACAGGUGGGUACGAGAAAUAGUUUUUGGCUCGCAACAAUCCACAGUCUCGACACAGGCCAUGAAGUUUAUUCCAAAACCUGACCUAACCCGAAAAACCUGAUCUAAAGCAAAAAAAAAACCUGACCUUAUACAUCUAACAGGGAAGCAUGGGCCAACUCGACCCGACACUAGGCACGAGUCGGGUACGGGCCGUGUCAAACGACCCACUACCCGACCUUGAUUCGACCUGAACCGACGUUUGAUUAGGUCUACUUAUUUGGUAAUACUAUAAUUUGAAGCAUAACUACACAUACUAAAUAAAUUAGACAUUUGAAGUAACACAAACCAUGCUUAAUAAGUGUUGGGAUCGGUGUGUUUGACCCAAUGUGUGCCAUGUGUACAUAAAACACUCUAUUUUCUAAACUUAAUUGAAUGGCAUAGCUCCUGCCUUUUAUUUUUUUUAAAUGCAUAGACUAAAAGAAUGGUAAAACAAGUGAAUGAAUCAUAUGAAACACCAAACUUUUGGAAAUUCUAUAGAUGGAAAACAACACCUCUGUUGAAACAAACAUGUAAAACUGUUCCAGAAUUGCAUUUCUUCAAUGGCAAUGAGAUUGCAGUUGCGUCUUCUAAACUCAGAUAGUUAGUAAGGUUGAGAAAAAGUUCCCCGAGGAUAACACCUUUGGUUGAUCCCUAUAACAUGAGAUGUUUUGCAUGUAACACUACAAUAUAGUACAUAGGCAAAAAAUCUUAUAAACAAGUAAUAAAUAAAAUAUAUGUAUAGUAACAAAACUAUACCAUGGAAACAACAAUCCUACAUUGACAAUCCUCAUAUUAUUUCGACACUACAUCUUGAGAAAACCAAAUUGAUUCUAGGAUCGAGUCAGGCCAUUGGCAAAUUCAUAUUAGAGCGGCCACUUUACUGACCUGGCAAUUGUUUUGCAUGUGUCCACUAAGAUUAUAGAAAUUAACAGCCUGGCACAUGUUUAGAAACAAUAAAAUAGAAGAUAACAUUAACAGACUUAUCUCACUAGUAACUAUUGAAUAAAUGUCAGUCAAAAUCACAUUAAUAAACUCGAGUACUUCAGGACAUCACACAACAUUACCACUGAAUUCACAAGCAUAAUUGGUGUUUAUAUUUCACCAUCAUGGAACAAAUGAAAUAGCACAUGUAUUGUUUCCUCAAUAUGUUUUAUGAUGCAUGUCACCAUGCCUAUUAUGAGCAAAAUGAGUACAAGUGCCGAACAAUAAAUGCCAGACCCUUAUACAAUCAUAUAUAGUUGCAAUCAAUCUGGGCCACAGUUACUACUUAAAGCUGCAUGCUCAUUAUAAUCAGGAAUAACAUGUAAGCACACUCCUCAACAAACCAUGAAGAGGUGGAGCCAUCUACAAGCACAAUUAUCUCCAGGUAGCAAAAAAUUAUCAUUAAACACCAAGGAGGAAACUCUUUUUCUACUACAAAGAGUGCAUAUGUACACUUCAACCUGCCAAACAAUGUAUGUAUCCAAUUCUAUCAUUCUAUGGAUUAUGAAUCGAUUGUCUGGUCCAUCACACGAGGACAAAUCGCCGUAUCACAUGGCAGUACUGAAUCAUCAACGGCAAUUUUUUUCCAAACCCAGAAUUCAAACGGCUCAAUCUUGAGUUGCAAUUCUUGCCCCUACCUAAAAUUCCUAAUGCAUACCCUAACGAUGGAACCAAUGACCGCUCGACCUCGCACAAAUCACCGAGCUCGCAAGUCGCAACGUAUAAUAAUGAGAGAAACAAACAAACAAAAGUCUUCAGUGUCACCUGGCCGGCACGAAGGUUGGAGAACCUGAACUCCACUCGCUCCCCAAGUCGGUUCAAGGAACGCCUGCGCCGCGGUUUAGCCUCGACAUCCAGCCCUCACCCCCGUCGCCGGUUUGGACGUGCGUGCGCAAUCAAUCUGGCUUCUGGCCUCCUCUGCGCCGUAGCGCUAUACCUGUAUGGAUCAUUGCGAUAUACAUGCAGGGGUAAUACCUGCAUGGAUCAUUG